UACGUAGGCAGCAAGCGUUGUUCGGAUUUACUGGGCGUAAAGGGCGCGUAGGCGGCAAAUUAAGUCAGCUGUGAAAUCUCCGAGCUUAACUCGGAACUGUCAGCUGAUACUGAUGUGCUAGAGUGCGGAAGGGGCAAUCGGAAUUCUUGGUGUAGCGGUGAAAUGCGUAGAUAUCAAGAGGAACACCUGAGGUGAAGACGGGUUGCUGGGCCGACACUGACGCUGAGUGCGCGAAAGCCAGGGGAGCAAACGGG
Molecule: ribosomal RNA, 254 nt
Filed under: uncultured bacterium
Lineage: Bacteria
Description: partial 16S ribosomal RNA
Rfam family: Bacterial small subunit ribosomal RNA
Source: RNAcentral